Molecule: long non-coding RNA, 1107 nt
Filed under: Homo sapiens (human)
Lineage: Eukaryota; Metazoa; Chordata; Mammalia; Primates; Hominidae
Description: HSALNT0337922
Source: RNAcentral
CUCCAAAGAAACUUUCCAGAUGAAGAGAAAUGCUCCAUGUCUGUGCUGUGCAAGAUGGGAGCUUCUGGACACCAGUGGCUACUGAGCACUCGAACUGUGGCUGGUGCAACCAAGGAACCGAAAUUUUUUUUACUUAAUUUUUAUUUUACUUAAUUUUUUUUACUUAAUUUUUAUUUUACUUUAUUCUAAUUAGCUAAAGCUUAAUUUUUAGUAGCUAGUGGCUGCCAUCAGAGUCCAGCAUACUUUAACAUUUAUAUUGUCUUAAUCUUUUCUCUUUUUUUUUCUUUAAAAUAUACACAGAGACAGUGUCUCCCUUUGUUGCCCAUUCUUGGCUUGAACUCCUGGGCUAAAGCAGUCCUCUUGCCUCAGCCUCCCAAAGAUGGGAUUACGGGUGCGAGCCACCACACUCUGCCACUUACAGUAUCUUCUUGUUUUACAUGUUUUCUCCAGAUCUUGAUCCUCAAAAUUGAAAAUCAGUUGUGAGUAUUGCAUUAUUAUGCCUGUAAAAAUUAUCCUUAACUUCACAAGCCGAACAGUAUAGAGUAAUUCCAUUCUGUUCCUUUACUGCUUUUAUUGUUAUUUCUUGAUGUUUUCUAAUUGUUUUUCUAUUUUUCUUUCUUUGGCUGCGCUGCCCAUAUUGGUUACUCCAUAAUUUCAGGGGUGGUAUCACGCUCUGUGAUUCCAUUUUCCCCUGAAUACUUUGCUUUUGGAAACUUUUCCUCUCUUACCGAGCUCCAUGCUGAUGUUUGCUGUGUGGUUCAGCUGCCUGAUUCCCAUCCAAGGAUUUCCCUUUGCAACGCUCCCAGGUUGAGUCUUCUGUUUCCCGGAUUCCACCACUUCCAUUUUUUAGUUUACUCCCUUAUUUUGCUGGGGUCCAUCAUCAAGUAACUUCCUAAGAAGGGAUCAGCAACCUACUUUCCACGGGCCGCUUUUGGCUUGCUGCCUAUUUUUGCACAGCUGAGAGUACACCAUCCUGAUCUGAGCAUGAGAAAAGAAGUUCCCUGAGGGCAGGACUUUAUUUGGUUCACUGCUGCGUCCUCACUGCCUAGACACAGUGCUCAAAAAUAUUUGCUGAAUGCUAUGGCUAGGCUUUGUGUCCCCACCCAA